Ruditapes philippinarum (Manila clam) is the source of this 386-nucleotide long non-coding RNA. RefSeq lists it as uncharacterized. NCBI's taxonomy places the organism in Eukaryota, Metazoa, Mollusca, Bivalvia, Venerida, Veneridae. The record is from RefSeq and is a predicted model, not a curated record. The transcript is spliced from 3 exons.
GCAGCUGGAUUUGUAGGCGGAUAUUGUACCAACUCUGGACACGAAUGUGAAAAUGAUAAAAAUUCCGUAUGUAUUGGAUUUAUUUGUGAGUGUAAAUAUGGAUCCCACAGAAGACUCGAUAUUUGUGUGACAGAUGAAACACUGGGAGGAAUUUGCACAGGCUCUGAUGGAGAAGUGUGUAAAAAUGACAUCAAUGCAGAAUGUCAACGUGGAGUUUGUGUUUGUAAUGAAGCGUCUAGUAUUCUAAAUGGGAAGUGUGUACCUGAUGAAUCAUAUGGAGGCAGAUGCAGUAGUCCGAAUGGUUUUCCGUGUAUAAUUGAUACAAGUGCUGAGUGUAUAGAUGGCUUGUGUCAGUGAAAAUAUGCUACCACUGACGUAGAAGGUAA